This 492-nucleotide ribosomal RNA is filed under the name uncultured bacterium. RNAcentral's name for it is "bacterial SSU rRNA". It matches the Rfam family "Bacterial small subunit ribosomal RNA", at positions 8 to 507 of the family's 1533-position model. The record is from RNAcentral.
AGAGUUUGAUCCUGGCUCAGAAUAAACGCUGGCGGCGUGCCUAACACAUGCAAGUCGAGCGAGAAAGGUCUUCGGACUGAGUAAAGCGGCGGACGGGUGAGUAACGCGUGGGAAUCUGCCCUUCAGUGAGGAAUACCUCCGAGAAAUCGGGGUUAAUACUGCAUACGUUCCGAAAGGAGAAAGGUGGCCUCUUUGCUACCGCCUUGGGAUAGGCUUGCGUCUGAUUAGCUAGUUGGUGUGGUAACGGCACACCAAGGCUACGAUCAGUAACUGGUCUGAGAGGAUGAUCAGUCACACUGGAACUGAGACACGGUCCAGACUCCUACGGGAGGCAGCAGUGAGGAAUAUCGGGCAAUGCUCGAAAGAGUGACCCAGCAACGCCGCGUGGAGGAUGAAGGUAUUCUAUAUCGUAAACUCCUGUGAGAGCAGACGAAAGACAGAUUAUUAAUCUGGAUGACUGUAUGCUCAGAGGAAGCCCCGGCUAACUACGUG